Molecule: ribosomal RNA, 758 nt
Filed under: uncultured Leptotrichia sp.
Lineage: Bacteria; Fusobacteriati; Fusobacteriota; Fusobacteriia; Fusobacteriales; Leptotrichiaceae
Description: bacterial SSU rRNA
Rfam family: Bacterial small subunit ribosomal RNA
Source: RNAcentral
UGGUGCUUGCACCAUGGUAACCAUGGCGGACGGGUGAGUAACGCGUAAGGAACUUGCCUGCGGGACUGGGAUGACAGCAGGAAACUGCUGAUAAUACCGGAUAAGGUCAUUAAGCUGCAUAGCUUAGUGAUGAAAGGAGACGCCUGCGGAGAGCCUUGCGUCCUAUUAGCUAGUUGGAGGGGUAACGGCCCACCAAGGCGAAGAUAGGUAGCCGGCCUGAGAGGGUGGACGGCCACAAGGGGACUGAGAUACGGCCCUUACUCCUACGGGAGGCAGCAGUGGGGAAUAUUGGACAAUGGGGGCAACCCUGAUCCAGCAAUUCUGUGUGCACGAAGACGGUUUUCGGAUUGUAAAGUGCUUUCAGCAGGGAAGAAGGAAGUGACGGUACCUGCAGAAGAAGCGACGGCUAAAUACGUGCCAGCAGCCGCGGUAAUACGUAUGUCGCGAGCGUUAUCCGGAAUUAUUGGGCAUAAAGGGCAUCUAGGCGGCCUUUCAAGUCAGGGGUGAAAACCUGCGGCUCAACCGCAGGCCUGCCUUUGAAACUGAUAGGCUGGAGUACCGGAGGGGUGGACGGAACUGCACGAGUAGAGGUGAAAUUCGUAGAUAUGUGCAGGAAUGCCGAUGAUGAAGAUAGUUCACUGGACGGUAACUGACGCUGAAGUGCGAAAGCCGGGGGAGCGAACAGGAUUAGAUACCCUGGUAGUCCCGGCCGUAAACGAUGAUUACUGGGUGUGGGCAGGAAGACUGUCUGUGCCGAA